This 292-nucleotide ribosomal RNA is filed under the name uncultured bacterium. RNAcentral describes it as "partial 16S ribosomal RNA". It matches the Rfam family "Bacterial small subunit ribosomal RNA", at positions 505 to 796 of the family's 1533-position model. The record is from RNAcentral.
GUGUCAGCAGCCGCGGUAAGACGAACCGUACAAACGUUAUUCGGAAUCACUGGGCUUAAAGGGUGCGUAGGCGGCUCAGAAAGUUGGGUGUGAAAUCCCUCGGCUCAACCGAGGAACUGCGCCCAAAACUACUGAGCUCGAGGGAGACAGAGGUAAGCGGAACUUAGGGUGGAGCGGUGAAAUGCGUUGAUAUCCUAAGGAACACCAGUAGCGAAAGCGGCUUACUGGGUCUCUUCUGACGCUGAGGCACGAAAGCUAGGGGAGCGAACGGGAUUAGAAACCCUCGUAGUCC